GAUGAACGCUGGCGGCGUGCCUAAUACAUGCAAGUCGAGCGAACUGAUUAGAAGCUUGCUUCUAUGACGUUAGCGGCGGACGGGUGAGUAACACGUGGGCAACCUGCCUGUAAGACUGGGAUAACUUCGGGAAACAGAAGCUAAUACCGGAUAGAAUCUUCUCCUUCAUGGGAGAUGAUUGAAAGAUGGUUUCGGCUAUCACUUACAGAUGGGCCCGCGGUGCAUUAGCUAGUUGGUGAGGUAACGGCUCACCAAGGCAACGAUGCAUAGCCGACCUGGGAGGGUGAUCGGCCACACUGGGACUGAGACACGGACCAGACUCCUACGGGAGGCAGCAGUAGGGAAUCUUCCGCAAUGGACGAAAGUCUGACGGAGCAACGCCGCGUGAGUGAUGAAGGCUUUCGGGUCGUAAAACUCUGUUGUUAGGGAAGAACAAGUACGAGAGUAACUGCUCGUACCUUGACGGUACCUAACCAGAAAGCCACGGCUAACUACGUGCCAGCCGCCGCGGUAA
RNAcentral lists this ribosomal RNA (514 nucleotides) under uncultured bacterium. RNAcentral describes it as "partial 16S ribosomal RNA". It matches the Rfam family "Bacterial small subunit ribosomal RNA", at positions 28 to 523 of the family's 1533-position model. The record is from RNAcentral.